RNAcentral lists this ribosomal RNA (468 nucleotides) under uncultured bacterium. RNAcentral's name for it is "partial 16S ribosomal RNA". It matches the Rfam family "Bacterial small subunit ribosomal RNA", at positions 28 to 507 of the family's 1533-position model. The record is from RNAcentral.
GACGAACGCUGGCGGCGUGCUUAACACAUGCAAGUCGAACGGAAAGGCCCUGCUUUUGUGGGGUGCUCGAGUGGCGAACGGGUGAGUAACACGUGAGUAAACUGCACUUGACUUAGGGAUAACUUCAGGAAACUGGGGAUAAUACCGGAUAGGAGCUCCUGCAGCAUGGUGGGGGUUGGAAAGUUUCGGCGGUUGGGGAUGGACUCGCGGCUUAUCAGCUUGUUGGUGGGGUAGUGGCUUACCAAGGCUUUGACGGGUAGCCGGCCUGAGAGGGUGACCGGCCACAUUGGGACUGAGAUACGGCCCAGACUCCUACGGGAGGCAGCAGUGGGGAAUAUUGCACAGUGGGCGGAAGCCUGAUGCAGCAACGCCGCGUGCGGGAUGACGGCCUUCGGGUUGUAAACCGCUUUCGCCUGUGACGAAGCGUGAGUGACGGUAAUGGGUAAAGAAGCACCGGCUAACUACGUG